This 484-nucleotide ribosomal RNA is filed under the name uncultured bacterium. Its description in RNAcentral is "partial 16S ribosomal RNA". It matches the Rfam family "Bacterial small subunit ribosomal RNA", at positions 30 to 507 of the family's 1533-position model. The record is from RNAcentral.
AUUGAACGCUGGCGGCAGGCCUAACACAUGCAAGUCGAGCGGAUGCACGGAGCUUGCUCCCGGUUUCCGCGGCGGACGGGCGAGUAAUGCCUAGGUAUCUGCCUGGCAGUGGGGUCUGACGUCCGGACACGGGCGCUAAUACCGCAUACGUCCAGAGGGUGAACGUGGGGGAUCUUCGGACCUACAGCUCUCAGACGAUCCUAGGACGCAUUAUCUAGUUGGUGGGGUAAAGGCGUACCAAGGCGACGAUCCGUCACUGCGCUGCGAGGAUGAUCAGACACACUGGAACUGAGACACGGUCCAGACUCCUACGGGAGGCAGCAGUGGGGAAUAUUGGACAAUGGGCGAAAGCCUGAUCCAGCCAUGCCGCGUGGGUGAAGAAGGUCUUCGGAUUGUAAAGCACUUUUAGUGGGGAGGAAGGGCAGUAAGUUAAUACCUGGCUGUUUUGACGGUACCAACAGAAUAAGCACCGGCUAACUUCGUG